GCUCCAGCGUCAACAUUAUGCCCAGGGGAAUAUUGAAGAACACAUCCUUUACUAGAAACAACCGUGUGCUUGCAGCCUGCAGAUCAGAAACUAAGUUUCCCAAAGAGAAUAUUGAAGAACCUCUGCGUCCGAGUUGGUACCUUGUACGCCCCAGCAGACUUCGUGGUGAUAGAGACUGGUACUGAUGAGAGGGCACCCAUCCUAGGGAGGCCAUUCUUGAACACCUCAGGAGCUGUCAUCUACGCUAGCGCUGUCAAGAUCAGUUUCUUCAUCAAUGGGAGGAAGGAGACGUUUUCCUUCAAGAACAAGAUUACACAAAUCUCAGAGCAAUCCAGACAUGAACCAAGGAAGAGGACCAACAGGAGGAACAAAAACAAGCAAAUGUGGACCGAGUCAGCUAAGAUGGUGACUACAGUUCAAGGAGGUCAAGAUCGUCGACUUAAAUCACCGUUCCUGACCAAAAAGGAUGACUUAGAUAUCCCAAGCAUCCAGUGCUCCAUUAAUGGAUACAACUUCUAGAAGACGCUUUGCGACACCGGAUUACGCAUCAACAUAAUGGCCGCAGUCACCUAUCAGCUCCUGUUCGGAACCAUGCCCCUAAAACCGACAUACAUUAAGCUCCAGAUGGCAGAUCAGACAUUCCGAAAGGUUGAAGGAGACCGUUCCUCAGCAUCGUUAAAGCAAUCAUCUACAUUGGAACCGGAGAAGUCUACAUGCACUUCCCCUUUGAGAAGGUACGCCGCUAUUUUACUGACCCUAACUAUAUAGUUGAAGACUCUAAGUAGGUCAGGACAAGAAGAAGAUAAUGCAACCGCAACCAGAGGAGGAAAAUCAUCAAGGACGGAUGGGCAGACUACGAAGGAGAAGUAGUAAGGUCCGAAGACAGACAACCUGAACAGAACUAUCCUGAGGAGACCGUAGCACCGAGUUAGGUGUGUAGAGAGAAGAUAGUUAUACAUGAAGAGCAGGCGCCGCCGGAACCACCGACUACGCCAUCCAGCGAAUCCCAAGACGACUGAGAAAACGGAGAGUCCUGUUCGGAGGACUUAAAAACACAAAACGCCUUGCCAAGAGGUAAAUUUGGUAGUUAUUUUUUUUCUUUUCAAUUAUUUUCAAUAGUUUGCUUAGUUAAUCAGGUUCAUAUCAUCUUGAAAAGAAAAUAAAAAUGUUAAAAAUAGUAAGCCCCAUGUGAGUAUGCUCAUGGCAUAAAACCCAUAAGUACAUUCACUGUGGUGGCGUAAGAAUGAAAUAAAUAUAUUCCUAUCCUAUAAAAAUGAGAAUAUAUAAAUAAGAUUGUGAUCCUACUAAAGAGAGUAACAUUUAUUGAGGAGGCUCAACAUCAUAAAGGCUAGAUAUUUAUGCUAACACUUAACUAGUUCCACAAAGCUUUGUUGUCUAUUUGAGCUCCACAGAAUUCAAGGAUCAAAGAAGACUAGCAGACGGAGGACAUCCUAAUCGCUGUCAGGGUGCUGCUGACAUUCAAAUACACCUUCACCACUUGCUAGCUACAUUAUAAGAAACUACGUCAAAAUCCAGCUUGGGGGAGAGCACCCCCAUUUAUCUAGCUAAGUAUUCUACUCACGUUUAUACUUUACUCUAAUAAUAAAAAGAUGCAUAAUCAUAGAAACCCAAAUAAAGAUUUUGUGCUUAUAUAUCUUUGCUUAGUUUGCUAAAUAAAUAAAGUUUGCUAUGAACUCUCAUGAUAAGCUCUCACAUGGAAAUGAUGAAUAGUUGCUCUGCCAUGACUAGUUCUUAAAAUUGAAAUCUCUCUCAAGUUUAGGCAUGAUUGUUAUUAAUUAAGAUUUGCUCUAAACCUGAACUUGUGGGAAGAGUACUUGAUCUAAAGUCUAAGUCGUUAACGGAUACGAUAUGGGAAGGUUGAGCUGCUGUUUAUCUGUUCCUAGAGAUGCUAGAAUUCUGGAGAAUUUUAUCUUUGAAAAUCUUUAAAAUGUUGCAUGAUGAGUUCCUGUAUGAUGAGAGUUUAAAUUCCUACCAUAGCCAUAUAUACAUGCUUGCUAGACUUUGAGCUACACAUUUACUUUUUACUGCUUAUGAGCAUUGAGUGUGGUCAAGCUGUGUAGACCCUUAGGAGCUUGUCAUGUGGUUAAGUCAAGAUUCACUUGCACGUUCACUCAUACAUGCUACUUCUACUCCAGAAGUACCAUCCACAUAUAUCCAUCCAUUUCCAUCUCAAGAACCACCCAAAAAUAUUCUACUCCUAAUCCGGGAGAGAAUAGCCAAAAACAUUCUCCUCUUUCUGUUUUUCCCUGUGAAAUAAAUGCUCAAGUUAUCUUGGUUACUACCACUUGCUAUAUUAUUUCAGGAGCUGAGUGCUCUAAAAAAAGAAAAAAAAAGAGAGAAAAAAAAGAGAUACGAGGAAAUAAAAAGGGGCAAGUGCCCGGAACCUCGAAGAAAAGAAAAAGUGAGACAAGAGGUAAAAAUGGACAAGUGUCCGAUAGUAGAAUUAGGGGUACAAGAUACCCACCUGAGAGAAAAGAAAAAGAAAACAUAGAGCAUCUCAUUCUCCUCAAAAAGUUUCAAAAGAGCAAGAAAGGUAUGUAUCCCCUCAAAAGAGCACAAGUAGAAUUAGACAUUCACCAUUGUUAUCACCAUCAUUACCAUGCACCAUUCAUUCGCCACACAUGCACAUCUUGAUUUGACUUAUUGACUUGUUUUUCUGGAUCCAUGGUUUGACUAUACAAUACAUGUCUUGUAAGUAUGUAUACUUUAUCUCCCACCUAUGAGCUCCAGAUAUUAAAGCCUUAUUAGAGUAGGGUGAGAGAGAAGGCAAUGCCACUAUGCCUUAUACCACAAAUACUAUAGAUUUUGAGAGAAGGCGUAUACCAUCACUGCCUUGGUAAGGAUCCAGAAAUACCACAAAAGAGAGACUAGAGAGAGUCAUACAAGGAAUCUUUGAGUUUUAUUUGAAAAUCUGCAAAAACUCCAGAGCUAUAGUUAAUCGAAGAACAAGAGACAUGGUGCUUGACUAGACUGUUCUAUCUUUUAACUACUCAAGACAGAAGUGACGGUUACAAGUCCCAUGGUGAAAGGUAAAUGAGUAAGUUUUAAGUCUUAACAGUUUACUCUAACCAGAGAUGAAAUCUUGUUUAAACGCAUGUGUAUCUUUAAGUUAUGAAACCACUGCAGAAACUCUUGAGUUCAUCUUUGCUCAGGGACGAGCAAAAGUUAAGCUUGGGGGAGCUUGUUGACGGUCCUUAAUGCUCACAUUUAACCAACAACUAAUCAUAGAAAAGGAUCCAAAUGCAACCAACACCUAGACUUAGGGUUUUAUCUGACAGAAUUCCACAAGUUUUGGUGUUUGUCUAUUUCUGCAGGGGGUUAUCAGGAAUUAUGGAAGAAAGGCCCACACGUCGGGUUUACAUAGAGAUAUUAACGUGCCACGCAAUUUUCUAUCAUCUAGAAGACUCCAGAAGCCACGGGACCGAAGCGGAGGCCGAGAGGACACAGGGACAGGGCGCCCGCCCUCCUUUCCUGGGCGCCUGCCCUCGGCUAGAGUCCAAUCAGGACUCUCUUUCGGGAUAUUGCUCCACCGACCUAAAGGAUCAACAAUAACCGUUCAAUCAAUGUCGGUUUGAUCCGACAGCCCAGAUUCACUUGAAGGGACUAUAAAACCAGACCCCCUGGCCCCUGG
Molecule: long non-coding RNA, 3652 nt
Filed under: Sorghum bicolor (sorghum)
Lineage: Eukaryota; Viridiplantae; Streptophyta; Magnoliopsida; Poales; Poaceae
Description: long non-coding RNA (SBIC_LNC012235)
Source: RNAcentral